AAGGAAUAUUGGUCAAUGGGCGCAAGUCUGAACCAGCCAUGCCGCGUGAAGGAUGAAGGUCCUCUGGAUUGUAAACUUCUUUUAUCUGGGACGAAAACGGGAUUUUUAUCUCAAUUGACGGUACCAGAGGAAUAAGCACCGGCUAACUCCGUGUUAGCAGCCGCGGUAAUACGGAGGGUGCGAGCGUUAUCCGGAUUUACUGGGUUUAAGGGUGCGUAGGUGGGCUUAUAAGUCAGUGGUGAAAUCUCCGAGCUUAACUUGGAAACUGCCGUUGAUACUAUAGGUCUUGAAUUAUCUGGAGGUAAGCGGAAUAUGUCAUGUAGCGGUGAAAUGCUUAGAUAUGACAUAGAACACCAAUUGCGAAGGCAGCUUACUACAUAUAAAUUGACGCUGAGGCACGAAAGCGUGGGGAUCAAAC
This 418-nucleotide ribosomal RNA is filed under the name uncultured bacterium. RNAcentral's name for it is "bacterial SSU rRNA". It matches the Rfam family "Bacterial small subunit ribosomal RNA", at positions 356 to 773 of the family's 1533-position model. The record is from RNAcentral.